GUGCCAGCAGCCGCGGUAAUACAGAGGGUGCGAGCGUUGUUCGGAAUUACUGGGCGUAAAGCGCGCGCAGGCGGCCCUUUAAGUCUGCCGGUCAAACGCCGGGGCUCAACCCCGUGCUCGCCGGAGAUACUGGGGGGCUGGAGACAGGUAGAGGCGAGUGGAAUUCCGGGUGUAGCGGUGGAAUGCGUAGAGAUCCGGAAGAACACCGGAGGCGAAGGCGGCUCGCUGGGCCUGGUCUGACGCUGAGGCGCGAAAGCGUGGGGAGCGAACAGGAUUAGAUACCCCUGUAGUCC
Molecule: ribosomal RNA, 293 nt
Filed under: uncultured bacterium
Lineage: Bacteria
Description: partial 16S ribosomal RNA
Rfam family: Bacterial small subunit ribosomal RNA
Source: RNAcentral